Polypterus senegalus (gray bichir) is the source of this 3192-nucleotide long non-coding RNA. RefSeq lists it as uncharacterized. The transcript is spliced from 3 exons. The record is from RefSeq and is a predicted model, not a curated record. Lineage: Eukaryota; Metazoa; Chordata; Cladistia; Polypteriformes; Polypteridae.
UUUUAGGUAAAUUUUACAUUUAAUCUUGCUGGAAUCAUUUAAAUGGUGUCUCGGGAAUUAGAAAUAGAAGCAUGCAAAACAGCAGUGUUUAUGCCAGUAAAAACUUGUGCACUAUAUAUUUUAUUUAUUUAUUUUAUUCUAUUCUGAAGGUGGCAGCAAGCACAUUGUCUCAGCACAUUGUGUUUUUGCUUAAGUGUCAUGUGUUGGUACAAAAUGUCAAAGGUGCUACAUAUAAUAAAUCCUGACAUAUUUAAUGCCUCUAAGUAUGAGUUUGCUUAGCUAAUUCCUUAUUAAAUGAACAUAAUUACAAUAAGCAAUGUGGUAGAAAACGUUAGACUAUACAGUAGGGACCGUCCAUCCAUUAUCAAACUCACUUAACUGUGUUUUGGGUCAAAUGCCAGCAAUUACCAUUUGCGUAAGGUAUACACCUAAAGAUAACAAGUGGAACAUUUUUUUAGAAAGUGUUACAGGGUCAGUUGUUGUAAAGUUGAGAUAAUGUUGGGCCUUUUUUAUUAUUAUAGUGGGAAAGUUAAUUUCUCUAAGAAAAAUCAGAUAUUAGAAAUCUUUGAUGUGACAGAGUUAUCUAAAAAACAAAAAAAUAAUGCAUUAGAAAAUGCAAAUCAAGAGAAACAAAAAGUAAUAUGCAAUAGUGAUAUCUAAUCCUAUGUCAGCAUAGAAUAUCAGAUGAAUAAACUACUAUGUGAAAUAAGCAGCAGAGACCCAGAUGGUUAUUAUUAUUUUCUGGUGAAUGGAGCAUGCAAAACAGAAACUGUUAUAUAAGCUAAACAAUAAUAAAAGAAGAAGAAAUUACCAGUCCAAUUAAGGUUGAUUAAACAUUUUUGGCUAUGUGUAUUUCCGCUAUGAAUAUUUCAAAUAGGUCAUUUUUUAAAUUAUAUUACUCUAUUACAUAAGUGUCAGCUGAUUCAAAGAAUCCCGAAAAUAUUUAGAGCAGAACUUAUUUUUUUUCUUCCUGUGCACUUAGUGUAUGUUGUACCAUAAAUUGUUUGUGACAAGUUGUAAAAGCGUCUUGUGGCCAUGGAAGUUGGACACAGAAGAUGAUGUGUGUCGACAGCUGCUUUGCAAUACAGUGAUACAAUCCCAUCAUUCUGGUUGGGUUAGCCUGUGUGGUAUAAAAGGCUGCCUUGCGAAUGAGAUUCUCUCAGUCACUGGUCUCCUCAGCCAGGAGUGACUCUGCACUCACCAAGAGCUCUUCAGUUAAACAAAAUAGUAUCUGCAGAGUUGGGAAAAGGAAAGGUUGAUGAAGUUAAAAGUGACAAGCUGAUGAUCACAACUGAUGGUAACUCUGAGUGAUGUUCUCUAACUGCUAGAAAAACCAGACUGAACAGACAUGAUCAUUCGAUUAGGUAGACUGACUCCUGGAUACUUUCGGCUUCUGCAGAGACAAAUUGCAGGGGAGGUUGAAACACAGCAAAAAGACAGAAUGGUUAAUCACAUUGCUAUGUUGCUAGCAAUUGUUGGACUUGGUCUGUCAUACUACAGUUCCAGAAGAAUGGCCAGACAAGCUAACGGAAACCAGAUUUCUUAAAUCGCCUAAGUUGAAUACUGAUGGGAGAAUGGUAUAGAAGUGUUGGAAGACUGUAAAAAUAGGAAACAGUAACUAUUCAGAUUCUUGCAAACACCAUUAUAGAUAAGGCUGAUCACUGAAAGCCAGAGGAUUUAAGAAUGAGCAAGGACCAGUUAUAAUAACUUUUGAUCGCUACUUUUACCAUUUGUAGCCAAAAAAACUUCAUUGUAAACAUUUACUAAACAAGAGUACAUAAAGUGGCAAUUCUGUCAGUGAAACAUGAAGUAAUGAAAUAUGAUGGGAAGAGGUACCAAAUUUUCACAAAAUCCCAUAGUGAACUAUUCUUAGAGAUGAAGUCUUGUUUGUAGUUACUCAUUAACUAAAAGAGAUACUAGCCUGUCCUGCCUAUGACCACACCAGGACAUGAAUCCAGCAGGGUAGCAGUAUCAAUAACUAUUUUCCUGCCAUAUUACCCUCAGGCUAUUUGUCCUUAAUCCAGGAAAAUGUUUGUUAACAAUUUCGAAAUGAAACAAAUUGCACAUAGGUUGACAUUUAAGUUAAAAUACAUAUGAACAUAUAGUAGAUAUAUUUUCGAUCUUUUUUCUAUUAGUUACUUAAUUGUUAUUAUAGUUAAGAAUUCUUACAAAAUACCAAUAUGAAAUUACAUAAGUGGUUAGAGAUGUAUGUUUCUUAAUUCAACUUUUAGCAUUUUUAGUAGACAAUGUUGUAUUCUCAUUUGUCUCUCCCACAGCCCUUUCAAAAGACCACUCUUCUCAAGUAAAGGAAGUUUUUUUUAAUAUUUUGUUCUUCCUUUGUCAUGUAUUCAUAUAGAACUUUCCAUGAAACUCCAUAUUUCAGGGAAUCUGUACAAUAUAUUAUGAUGAACAUUGUUACAUUUGAAACAUCGGUAGCUUAACUGACAUGCUUAGAUUCACACAAUACACCAGCAGUGGCUUUAAAAACCUGCAACCAUAUGAAUUAUGUUUUACAUCUAGAACCUGUAAGUCUCACUGUCAGUGCUUAUGUAUUCCAUAUAUUUUACUCGGAGCGACUCAUUGUUAAGUUUAAGGAAUUCAUUUUGACAAACUGCAUGAAUUUAUUGAAACUAGGCUUCAGACCCAGGUGGUUUCUGAAACACUGGAUCUCACAACAUUUGGGAUUCUUUAAUACAUUAGCAAAAUACAAAAUAAGUCCUUUUGAAUAGCAGUUGUAACUGUUGUAUUUUUCUAAUGAGGAGUAAUUAAGUAACUUGAUUUAUUUAGACAUUGUAAUAUAUAUAAUCCUACAACUUAAUGUAAUUUAAACAUUUAUUUAAUUUUAUGUUUAGGGUAUAUGUCCUUGCAAAGUAUGUUUUGUUUUAAGCUUUGGUAAGGAAUGAGCAGAUGACCAAGUUAAGAGUUUAGCUGAAUAGAUGAGAAAUUUAAACAAAUGAAAGAAAUGAUAUAAAAAAACUAACAUUGCAGUAGAAUAAAAAAUAUUUUAAAGGUCUGAAUCAGACGUUGCUUCAUUUUAAUCAUCAUUCUUAAUGUUCAUUUCCUUGUCUGAUAUGUAACACAGUUUUUAUUUUUGGCACAAAUGUUAUUUAUAAGUAGGGGAUGACUUCUGUUAACAAAAGAAAGGGUGCAAUAAUAAAAGUCGAUCUAAACAAAGGACUUGACAAAGCAGAA